This 253-nucleotide ribosomal RNA is filed under the name uncultured bacterium. RNAcentral's name for it is "partial 16S ribosomal RNA". It matches the Rfam family "Bacterial small subunit ribosomal RNA", at positions 524 to 776 of the family's 1533-position model. The record is from RNAcentral.
UACGUAGGGGGCAAGCGUUGUCCGGAAUCAUUGGGCGUAAAGAGCGUGUAGGCGGCCUGGUAAGUCCGCUGUGAAAGUCCAGGGCUCAACCCUGGAAUGCCGGUGGAAACUGUCAGGCUCGAGUCCGGAAGAGGCGAGUGGAAUUCCCGGUGUAGAGGUGAAAUUCGUAGAUAUCGGGAGGAACACCAGUGGCGAAGGCGGAGACCUGGGCCGAUACUGACGCUGAGGUGCGAAAGCGUGGGGAGCAAACAGG